CGGACCGUGUCCAAGUUCCUUGGAACAGGAUAUCAAAGAGGGUGACAAUCCCGUACUUGACACGACGACCGGUGCUCUGUGAUACGUCUUCUACGAGUCGAGUUGUUUGGGAAUGCAGCUCAAAAUGGGUGGUGAGUUCCAUCUAAAGCUAAAUAUUGGCGAGAGACCGAUAGCGAACAAGUACCGUGAGGGAAAGAUGAAAAGCACUUUGGAAAGAGAGUUAAACAGUACGUGAAAUUGUUGAAAGGGAAACGAUUGAAGUCAGUCGUGACCGAGAGGCUCAGCCGGCUCUGCCGGUGUAUUCCCCUCGGUCGGGUCAACAUCAGUUUUGUCCGGUGGAUAAGGGCGGUAGGAAGGUGGCACCCUCGGGUGUGUUAUAGCCUGCCGUCGCAUACAUCGGGUGAGACUGAGUAACGCAGCUCGCCUUUAUGGCCGGGGUUCGCCCACGUCC
This 451-nucleotide ribosomal RNA is filed under the name Papiliotrema laurentii. RNAcentral describes it as "LSU rRNA". It matches the Rfam family "Eukaryotic large subunit ribosomal RNA", at positions 171 to 610 of the family's 3401-position model. Lineage: Eukaryota; Fungi; Basidiomycota; Tremellomycetes; Tremellales; Rhynchogastremaceae. The record is from RNAcentral.